Molecule: non-coding RNA, 138 nt
Filed under: Roseiarcus fermentans
Lineage: Bacteria; Pseudomonadati; Pseudomonadota; Alphaproteobacteria; Hyphomicrobiales; Roseiarcaceae
Source: RNAcentral
UAGUGGAGGAAGGUUCCACCCGGAUAUUUGUCGGUAGGUCCGGUAGCUGACGAGCGGUUUUGGCGAGCGAUUGCUGGGAUCGAAGCCUCGUGACAAAGGCCGCGUGGCGGCUGAGCGAUCCGGCGGGCCGCAAUGUGA